UACGGAGGAUCCAAGCGUUGUCCGGAUUUAUUGGGUUUAAAGGGUGCGUAGGCGGUUUGUUAAGUCAGUGGUGAAAGUUUGCGGCUUAACCGUAAAAUUGCCAUUGAAACUGACAGACUUGAAUUUGGUUGAGGUUGCCGGAAUGUGUCAUGUAGCGGUGAAAUGCUUAGAUAUGAUACAGAACACCAAUUGCGAAGGCAGGUAACUAAACCAAUAUUGACGCUGAGGCACGAAAGCGUGGGGAUCAAACAGG
RNAcentral lists this ribosomal RNA (253 nucleotides) under uncultured bacterium. Its description in RNAcentral is "partial 16S ribosomal RNA". It matches the Rfam family "Bacterial small subunit ribosomal RNA", at positions 524 to 776 of the family's 1533-position model. The record is from RNAcentral.